RNA transcript from Morus notabilis, 1243 nucleotides. RefSeq lists it as uncharacterized. The record is from RefSeq and is a predicted model, not a curated record. The transcript has 3 exons. Lineage: Eukaryota; Viridiplantae; Streptophyta; Magnoliopsida; Rosales; Moraceae.
CUCCAGCCUUUCUCUGUGCGUUUCUCACGUGAGUUUGCAGAGCAUCUCCUCAGCCUUUCCUAAUUUUUCUCCUUUCUUUUCUUUCGGUAAUUUUCCACUCCUCUUCCUGGUGGACUCCUCUUCGCAUAUAAAUAGCCCAACCCACGGUAGACUCCUCUUCUCUGAGUUGAUGAGAAAUGCUUCAAGUAAAGGGGUGAUUGUGAACAAUCGAGGGAAGCUCCACAUUCGGUACCAAUUUCGCCGAUACUACCAAAGUAAGGCCAUUUCUCGCCUUCACCGGAGAGGAAACAGACGGGGAAUUUACAAAAGUCCUUCAUCUGUGUUUGGAGUUUUGCUGGCGGUGUCCUUCAACUCCUCGUCGGACUCGAACUCUGUAGUGAUGCCUAGGAAAAACCCAUAUGAGAGGCCGUUGUAUUGGAGCCCCGCUGCAGAGGCAUUUCUACUUGAGGAACUAUAUGAAUACAAUGACACAAACCACGGGAAGCUAUCAGAUUCUCGUGACUACAACCAAUAGACUGUUAAGAUGGCCACUUUUUUCGAUGGAUAUGUACCCGACGGUGAGCGACUGAGGGAGAAACACCGCCAACUUGGCAAUCUUUACACAACGUAUAAAAUGUUGCAAAACCAUACAGGAGUACCGUGAGAUCUUAUCAGUAAAACUUUCACAUGCUUAGAGGAACUGCGGACAGCUCUUUACAAGAGACAUCGUGAAGCGAAAACAUUGUUCACUCAUGCUUGGAAGCUAAAUGAGAUGUACUUGGCGGCCGUUUUCUCUUCAAGAGUUAUGGCUUCUGGUUCAGGUGCAUAUCACCAUGUCGCGCAAGUAGAGCCAAUGGACGAUGUUGUUGCUGGGGAUGAAUAACCACAACCCCACCAGAAUGCUCCUUACCAAAAUAGUGAUGAUGGGGAGAUUCGUAUUGAGCUUCGCAACUACGUGGAAAGUCUUGAAAGGUGAAAUGUGACCAAUGUCACCUCAUCUUCACAAGUGAUUAGAAAGAAACAAACAAGGGCACGUAAAUCCAAUGACAGUUCACGAGUGGAGUUGCUUGAAAUGGUUAGGGACAUGCGCGACGAUUUUCGAGAGGACAUUUGUUUAAGCAAAGAGGGCCUGUCGAGUAACAACACUAUCAAUGGACCAAGUGAAGCGGAUAUCAUCCUAGCGUCGCUCCCAAAAAUGAGAAUUGACCCGCAUAUGCAAGCCCAUGCCUUCAAAAAGAUAAUGGCAUCUGCCACGUAGCGGCUA